UACGGGGGGGGCAAGCGUUGUUCGGAAUUACUGGGCGUAAAGGGCUCGUAGGCGGCCAACUAAGUCAGACGUGAAAUCCCUCGGCUUAACCGGGGAACUGCGUCUGAUACUGGCAGGCUAGAGUGCGGUAGAGGAUGGCGGAAUUCCCGGUGUAGCAGUGAAAUGCGUAGAGAUCGGGAGGAACAUCUGUGGCGAAGGCGGCCAUCUGGACCAGCACUGACACUGAGGCACGAAAGCUAGGGGAGCGAAUGGG
RNAcentral lists this ribosomal RNA (253 nucleotides) under uncultured bacterium. Its description in RNAcentral is "partial 16S ribosomal RNA". It matches the Rfam family "Bacterial small subunit ribosomal RNA", at positions 524 to 776 of the family's 1533-position model. The record is from RNAcentral.